GUGGGGAAUCUUAGACAAUGGGGGCAACCCUGAUCUAGCCAUGCCGCGUGAGUGAUGAAGGCCUUAGGGUUGUAAAGCUCUUUCAGUGGGGAAGAUAAUGACGGUACCCACAGAAGAAGCCCCGGCUAACUCCGUGCCAGCAGCCGCGGUAAUACGGAGGGGGCUAGCGUUGUUCGGAAUUACUGGGCGUAAAGCGCACGUAGGCGGAUCGGAAAGUUGGGGGUGAAAUCCCAGGGCUCAACCCUGGAACUGCCUUCAAAACUAUCGGUCUGGAGUCCGAGAGAGGUGAGUGGAAUUCCGAGUGUAGAGGUGAAAUUCGUAGAUAUUCGGAGGAACACCAGUGGCGAAGGCGGCUCACUGGCUCGGUACUGACGCUGAGGUGCGAAAGCGUGGGGAGCAAACAGGAUUAGAAACCCUGGUAGUCC
Molecule: ribosomal RNA, 425 nt
Filed under: uncultured bacterium
Lineage: Bacteria
Description: partial 16S ribosomal RNA
Rfam family: Bacterial small subunit ribosomal RNA
Source: RNAcentral